AGAACGAACGCUGGCGGCAGGCUUAACACAUGCAAGUCGAACGGUUGUAGCAAUACAGCAGUGGCAGACGGGUGAGUAACACGUGGGAACCUUCCUAGGGGUACGGAACAACUCAGGGAAACUUGAGCUAAUACCGUAUACGUCCGUGAGGAGAAAGUUUUAACGCCCCUAGACGGGCCCGCGUAGGAUUAGGUAGUUGGUGAGGUAACGGCUCACCAAGCCUACGAUCCUUAGCUGAUCUGAGAGGAUGAUCAGCCACACUGGGACUGAGACACGGCCCAGACUCCUACGGGAGGCAGCAGUGGGGAAUCUUGGACAAUGGGCGCAAGCCUGAUCCAGCCAUGCCGCGUGAGUGAAGAAGGCCUUCGGGUUGUAAACUCCUGUCAUUUGAGAACAAGGUACGAGUAUUAACUGUCCUCGUAUUGAUAGUAUCAGAAGAGGAAGGGACGGCUAACUCUGUACCAGCAGCCGC
This 472-nucleotide ribosomal RNA is filed under the name uncultured bacterium. RNAcentral's name for it is "SSU rRNA". It matches the Rfam family "Bacterial small subunit ribosomal RNA", at positions 26 to 518 of the family's 1533-position model. The record is from RNAcentral.